GCUAGGGCGAUGUUGCGUGGUGUGGGGUGGGGGCGUGGGGACCGGCGGGCUGCUUGGUGGGUGGCUGGGGAGGCACUGACGCCUCCGGAGAGAGAGGGGCCUUGCCCUGGGUGCCAGGACGAGGGCCAGGAGGCGAGGAAUGUAAGAGGCCUCUACAAGUUGGAAAAGCUCCCUCAGAGUCUCCAGAGUCUCCAGACACCUUGAUUUUAUCCCGAUGAGGCCCACUUUGGAGUUCUAAGGCUCUAGAAUUAAACUAAUCAGAUGAUUCAGAAGGCCACAGCUAUGGGCAACUGGUGAUUGGC
Molecule: long non-coding RNA, 302 nt
Organism: Phyllostomus hastatus (greater spear-nosed bat)
Lineage: Eukaryota; Metazoa; Chordata; Mammalia; Chiroptera; Phyllostomidae
Exons: 3
Source: RefSeq, a predicted model, not a curated record